UUGAACGCUGGCGGAAUGCUUUACACAUGCAAGUCGAGCGGCAGCGCGGGGGCAACCCUGGCGGCGAGCGGCGAACGGGUGAGUAAUACAUCGGAACGUGCCCGAUCGUGGGGGAUAACGCAGCGAAAGCUGUGCUAAUACCGCAUACGAUCUACGGAUGAAAGCAGGGGACCGCAAGGCCUUGCGCGGACGGAGCGGCCGAUGGCAGAUUAGGUAGUUGGUGGGAUAAAAGCCUACCAAGGCGACGAUCCGUAGCUGGUCUGAGAGGAUGAUCAGCCACACUGGGACUGAGACACGGCCCAGACUCCUACGGGAGGCAGCAGUGGGGAAUUUUGGACAAUGGGCGCAAGCCUGAUCCAGCCAUGCCGCGUGAGUGAAGAAGGCCUUCGGGUUGUAAAGCUCUUUCAGACGGAAAGAAAUCGGGCGCGUGAAUAGCGUGCCUGGAUGACGGUACUGUCAGAAGAAGCACCGGCUAACUACGU
RNAcentral lists this ribosomal RNA (482 nucleotides) under uncultured bacterium. RNAcentral's name for it is "bacterial SSU rRNA". It matches the Rfam family "Bacterial small subunit ribosomal RNA", at positions 29 to 506 of the family's 1533-position model. The record is from RNAcentral.